CCCGCACAAGCGGAGGAACAUGUGGUUUAAUUCGAUGAUACGCGAGGAACCUUUACCUGGGCUUAAAUGUAGAGUGCUAUUUUUUAGAGAUAGAAAUUCCCUUCGGGGCUUUCUGCAAGGUGCUGCAUGGUUGUCGUCAGCUCGUGCCGUGAGGUGUCGGGUUAAGUCCCAUAACGAGCGCAACCCUUAUCGUUAGUUGCCAGCUGGUAAAGCAGGGGACUCUAGCGAAACUGCCACCGUAAGGUGAGAGGAAGGUGGGAUGACGUCAAAUCAGCACGGCCCUUAUGUCCAGGGCUACACACGUGUUACAAUGGCCGGCACAGAGGGCAGCUACCUGGUGACAGGAUGCUAAUCUCGAAAACCGGUCUCAGUUCGGAUCGAAGUCUGCAACUCGACUUCGUGAAGCUGGAUUCGCUAGUAAUCGCGCAUCAGCCAUGGCGCGGUGAAUACGUUCCCGGGCCUU
RNAcentral lists this ribosomal RNA (463 nucleotides) under uncultured Sphingobacteriales bacterium. RNAcentral describes it as "bacterial SSU rRNA". It matches the Rfam family "Bacterial small subunit ribosomal RNA", at positions 920 to 1382 of the family's 1533-position model. The record is from RNAcentral. Lineage: Bacteria; Pseudomonadati; Bacteroidota; Sphingobacteriia; Sphingobacteriales.